Molecule: ribosomal RNA, 322 nt
Filed under: uncultured eukaryote
Lineage: Eukaryota
Description: partial 18S ribosomal RNA
Rfam family: Eukaryotic small subunit ribosomal RNA
Source: RNAcentral
CCCUUAGAUGUUCUGGGCCGCACGCGUGCUACACUGAGUGGAUCAGCGGGUCAGGUUGCGCGAAAGUGUUUCCUAAUCUUGAAAUCCGCUCGUGAUGGGGAUUGACGGUUGCAAUUUUCCGUCAUGAACGAGGAAUACCUUGUAAGCGCGGGUCAUCAUCCCGCGCUGAAUACGUCCCUGCCCUUUGUACACACCGCCCGUCGCUCCUACCGAUUGAGUGGUCCGGUGAGGCUUUGGGAUCUGAGCGGAAAGAGCGUUUCGCUGUUUCUGCUCGGAAAACUCAGUCGAACCUUAUCAUCUAGAGGAAGGUGAAGUCGUAACA